GGUCAGGAUGAACGCUAGCUACAGGCUUAACACAUGCAAGUCGAGGGGCAGCAUUGGAGUAGCAAUACUUCAGAUGGCGACCGGCGCACGGGUGAGUAACACGUAUCCAACCUGACCGCUUACUCGGGGAUAGCCUUUCGAAAGAAAGAUUAAUACCCGAUGGUAUAAAGAGUUCGCAUGUUCUCUUUAUUAAAGAAUUUCGGUAAGCGAUGGGGAUGCGUUCCAUUAGAUAGUUGGCGGGGUAACGGCCCACCAAGUCUACGAUGGAUAGGGGUUCUGAGAGGAAGGUCCCCCACAUUGGAACUGAGACACGGUCCAAACUCCUACGGGAGGCAGCAGUGAGGAAUAUUGGUCAAUGGACGAGAGUCUGGAACCAGCCAAGUAGCGUGAAGGAUGACUGCCCUAUGGGUUGUAAACUUCUUUUAUAAGGGAAUAAAGUGAGGGACGUGUCCCUUUUUGUAUGUACCUUAUGAAUAAGGAUCGGCUAACUCCGUGCCAGCCGCUGC
RNAcentral lists this ribosomal RNA (506 nucleotides) under uncultured bacterium. Its description in RNAcentral is "bacterial SSU rRNA". It matches the Rfam family "Bacterial small subunit ribosomal RNA", at positions 22 to 518 of the family's 1533-position model. The record is from RNAcentral.